CCCCCAAAUCAGGUGCAUGCCGACUUAAGGAAGUGCUUCCAAGCAAAUGUGAGUGCUGAAGUUGCUGAAUCAAUCAGGAUAAUGUAUGGAGGUUUUGUUAGCAGUGCAAACUGCAAAGAACUAGCAGCAAAGCCUGAUGUAAAUGGAUUCCUCGUCAGUGGACCUUCUUUGAAGCCGGAGUUCAUCGACAUCAUCAAAUCCGCGACUGUGAAAUCAUCUACCUAGAGUGCCACUCUUAAUGUUCAUUAUAUGAAUUUCUGGGGAAGAGACCUUGUUUUCUGUGAUCAAAAUAAUCUAAUUAAAAUUUUUGUUAUGCAAAUGUUAUCGGCCUGGAUCUUGUUUGUUCCCUAGCAACAAGGCUGCAAUACUGAAUUUUAAUGUUGCAUGUGGAAUGGAGUUUUAAUGUUGUUUUGAUACAAGUGUUUGUAUAGUUAUACUACAUGAUUUCCAAUGUAUAUAUAGGGCAUCUA
Dioscorea cayenensis subsp. rotundata (Guinea yam) is the source of this 470-nucleotide long non-coding RNA. RefSeq lists it as uncharacterized. The transcript has 3 exons. The record is from RefSeq and is a predicted model, not a curated record. Lineage: Eukaryota; Viridiplantae; Streptophyta; Magnoliopsida; Dioscoreales; Dioscoreaceae.